UAAUCAUAAUGCUUAUAAUGGAAUUUACAAUAUUUAUUGGAUUUGAAUAGAUUUGAAUCCAUAAUAUUACGAACUCAAUAUUCUCGAAUCUCAAUAAUAUAAACUUGUGUUCCAAUGAGCCUGUUAUAACUGAGAUCAAAGAUUUUCAACAUUUUGAAGCCUGGUAUGUCUGUCAAAUACAAAGUUUUCAAAAAAAAGUGAAUCUAAAUGAAAAAUAUCUACAAUAAAAUAAUGGAAUAUAUGAAU
RNAcentral lists this long non-coding RNA (246 nucleotides) under Elaeis guineensis (African oil palm). Its description in RNAcentral is "long non-coding RNA (EGUI_LNC026103)". Lineage: Eukaryota; Viridiplantae; Streptophyta; Magnoliopsida; Arecales; Arecaceae. The record is from RNAcentral.